This 62-nucleotide non-coding RNA is filed under the name Streptococcus suis 98HAH33. RNAcentral describes it as "pemK RNA". It matches the Rfam family "pemK RNA". Lineage: Bacteria; Bacillati; Bacillota; Bacilli; Lactobacillales; Streptococcaceae. The record is from RNAcentral.
AUAAUGAUACUUCUGACCGUUCAGGCUGCCAUCGUAAAAGGACAGCGGGUGAAUUCCCAUGA